UACCUGCAGCUCGAGUGGUAACCGUUAUUAUUGGGCCUAAAGCGUCCGUAGCCGGUUUGGUAAAUAUCUGGGUAAAUCGUGAGGCUUAACUUCACGAAUUUCGGAUAGACUGCCAGACUUGGGAUCGGGGGAGGUCAGAGGUACUCCAGGGGUAGCGGUGAAAUGUUGUAAUCCUUGGAGGACCACCGGUAGCGAAGGCGUCUGACUAGAACGAGUCCGACGGUGAGGGACGAAGCCCUGGGGCGCAAACCGGAUUAGAUACCCGGGUAGUCCAGGGUGUAAACGAUGUGGGCUUUGUAUUGGAGGUCCCACGUGGGCGUCCGGUGCAGAAGAGAAGUUGUUAAGCCCACCGCCUGGGAAGUACGGUCGCAAGGCUGAAACUUAAAGGAAUUGGCGGGGAGCACAGCAACGGGAGGAGCGUGCGGUUU
RNAcentral lists this ribosomal RNA (428 nucleotides) under uncultured archaeon. RNAcentral's name for it is "bacterial SSU rRNA". It matches the Rfam family "Archaeal small subunit ribosomal RNA", at positions 474 to 903 of the family's 1478-position model. The record is from RNAcentral.